This 484-nucleotide ribosomal RNA is filed under the name uncultured bacterium. Its description in RNAcentral is "partial 16S ribosomal RNA". It matches the Rfam family "Bacterial small subunit ribosomal RNA", at positions 30 to 507 of the family's 1533-position model. The record is from RNAcentral.
AUUGAACGCUGGCGGAAUGCUUUACACAUGCAAGUCGAGCGGCAGCACGGGGGCAACCCUGGUGGCGAGCGGCGAACGGGUGAGUAAUACAUCGGAACAUGCCCAGUCGUGGGGGAUAACACUUCGAAAGAAGUGCUAAUACCGCAUACGUCCUGAGGGAGAAAGCGGGGGAUCGCAAGACCUCGCGCGAUUGGAGUGGCCGAUGUCAGAUUAGCUAGUUGGUGGGGUAAAGGCCUACCAAGGCAACGAUCUGUAGCUGGUCUGAGAGGAUGAUCAGCCACACUGGGACUGAGACACGGCCCAGACUCCUACGGGAGGCAGCAGUUGGGAAUUUUGGACAAUGGGGGCAACCCUGAUCCAGCCAUUCCGCGUGAGUGAAGAAGGCCUUCGGGUUGUAAAGCUCUUUCGGCAGGAACGAAACGGUGAGCUCUAACAUAGCUCGCUAAUGACGGUACCUGAAGAAGAAGCACCGGCUAACUACGUG